GGAUGUACGAAACGUUUUGGGUGCACAACGAUCUGUACCCGAAUCUACCUGUUUCGGGCGAUUUGUAUACAAAACAAAUCACUCCUCUGCAAGCCUGGCAAGAUUCAGCUCCAGAACAAAUCGCCCAGAUUUUGGAACCGAAUGUUUUGUUGUUUCAUACCUCCAUUUUGUGAUGAGCUCUGUGUAGUCUCCAUUUUGUGCUUUGACGUCAUUUUGAAUUUCCUUCCCUUCCAAGCUUCAGAUCGGUGAACGAAAGCAUGGGCUGAUCUGCUGAGGAUUCCCUCCUGGUUCCAGAUUGGCUCUUUUGGCUCUUGCCACUGCUGACUGACCCCGCAUUGGCCAGGAAAAGGGUUGAAGAAGGGGCAAGGGUGGGGUGGAGUUCAAGGAGGGAUUUUCAAUUAGAUUUAAGCAGGAAGCAGCCACCAUUCUGCCUUUCUGCCUCAUGGCAGGAGAGAGCGAGGGAGAGAGCUUUGCCUUGCUUUGCCUAUUGCCUUUUGCCUUGCCAGCCUGAGCCAAGUCUGCCUUGCCACUCUGCCUGUCUGCCCCUGCUGCAUGCCAGCCUGGAAUGGAUUCUCUGCAGCAUCGCUUUUUUGUUCCUGCUGCUGAUUCAAGAAAAGAAAAUAAUUUUUUAAUCCCCUUCCUGCUGCUGAGAGAAUCACUGCCUGCCUGUGCUUGUUGUCUGUGCCAUCCCCCAGCCCCCAGCCCCAGAGCCCUUGUGGCCACCCACCCACCCCCCACCCCCGAUUUUCCAGGCUUUUGCCCCAGCCCGCCCCCUCCCGCCUGAAUCUGGAGACUGGAGAAGGAGACUGAAGAAGAUAGAGUAGACUCAGAGACCAGACCACAGAAGUGGACAACUGGACCCAAUGUGGGUGAAUCCCUAGACUGACUCUUACAUCUCUGCCUCAGCUCAGUCUUGGUGCACAUCUUGCCAAUCAGCUGCUGAUCAUCUACUUUUUAUACCCAGAAGCACAUCAAAGACAUGGUUGGAAGCUAUAAUGAAAAAUUAUAUAUAACCGGGUAACCUGCAUGAGGGUUAUACACACCAUUUGUGGAAGGAAUCGUGUUUGGGGAUAUCAAAUUUCAAAGUUUUGGACAAGGGAAUGACAUUGUAGAAUAGGCUUAUAGAUGAGUUGCCAUCGUCAUUGACAUUCAAAGCAGACUACUUGACUACAUGGCUAUUUAUUCGCCUUUUGCAAACAUUCCCUAACUAUUCGGAUCUAGCUUUUAGUCGUCCACCUAAGAUAACCUUUUCUUUAGAUGAUAUCCAUAGAAUGGGUUUCGAAAGCAUUAUUUCAUUAAAGCAUCACAUGAUUUAUGCUAAAUGCUGGUAAGUGUUUGCUAUCUCCAAUUGCCAAAAAGGACUAUGUACCUGUAUUUUGAAAUUGUGUUUGGAAGGUGACCUUCCCUAGCCUUGUAAAUCCCUUGCUUGCCCUUGGAACAGAGGUAUUAAAACUUUUUAGAAAAUAUA
Hemicordylus capensis (graceful crag lizard) is the source of this 1468-nucleotide long non-coding RNA. RefSeq lists it as uncharacterized. The transcript is spliced from 3 exons. The record is from RefSeq and is a predicted model, not a curated record. NCBI's taxonomy places the organism in Eukaryota, Metazoa, Chordata, Lepidosauria, Squamata, Cordylidae.